RNAcentral lists this ribosomal RNA (1236 nucleotides) under Elm witches'-broom phytoplasma. Its description in RNAcentral is "bacterial SSU rRNA". It matches the Rfam family "Bacterial small subunit ribosomal RNA", at positions 163 to 1399 of the family's 1533-position model. The record is from RNAcentral. Lineage: Bacteria; Bacillati; Mycoplasmatota; Mollicutes; Acholeplasmatales; Acholeplasmataceae.
CUAAGACUGGAUAGGAGACAAGAAGGCAUCUUCUUGUUUUUAAAAGACCUAGCAAUAGGUAUGCUUAGGUAGGAGCUUGCGUCACAUUAGUUAGUUGGUGGGGUAAAGGCCUACCAAGACUAUGAUGUGUAGCCGGGCUGAGAGGUUGAACGGCCACAUUGGGACUGAGACACGGCCCAAACUCCUACGGGAGGCAGCAGUAGGGAAUUUUCGGCAAUGGAGGAAACUCUGACCGAGCAACGCCGCGUGAACGAUGAAGUAUUUCGGUACGUAAAGUUCUUUUAUUAGGGAAGAAUAAAUGAUGGAAAAAUCAUUCUGACGGUACCUAAUGAAUAAGCCCCGGCUAACUAUGUGCCAGCAGCCGCGGUAAUACAUAGGGGGCAAGCGUUAUCCGGAAUUAUUGGGCGUAAAGGGUGCGUAGGCGGUUAAAUAAGUUUGUGGUCUAAGUGCAAUGCUCAACAUUGUGAUGCUAUAAAAACUGUUUAGCUAGAGUAAGAUAGAGGCAAGUGGAAUUCCAUGUGUAGUGGUAAAAUGCGUAAAUAUAUGGAGGAACACCAGUAGCGAAGGCGGCUUGCUGGGUCUUUACUGACGCUGAGGCACGAAAGCGUGGGGAGCAAACAGGAUUAGAUACCCUGGUAGUCCACGCCGUAAACGAUGAGUACUAAACGUUGGGUAAAACCAGUGUUGAAGUUAACACAUUAAGUACUCCGCCUGAGUAGUACGUACGCAAGUAUGAAACUUAAAGGAAUUGACGGGACUCCGCACAAGCGGUGGAUCAUGUUGUUUAAUUCGAAGGUACCCGAAAAACCUCACCAGGUCUUGACAUGCUUCUGCAAAGCUGCAGAAACACAGUGGAGGUUAUCAGUUGCACAGGUGGUGCAUGGUUGUCGUCAGCUCGUGUCGUGAGAUGUUGGGUUAAGUCCCGCAACGAGCGCAACCCUUAUUGUUAGUUACCAGCACGUAAUGGUGGGGACUUUAGCAAGACUGCCAGUGAUAAAUUGGAGGAAGGUGGGGACGACGUCAAAUCAUCAUGCCCCUUAUGACCUGGGCUACAAACGUGAUACAAUGGCUGUUACAAAGGGUAGCUGAAGCGCAAGUUUUUGGCGAAUCUCAAAAAAACAGUCUCAGUUCGGAUUGAAGUCCGCAACUCGACUUCAUGAAGUUGGAAUCGCUAGUAAUCGCGAAUCAGCAUGUCGCGGUGAAUACGUUCUCGGGGUUUGUACACACCGCCCGUCA